RNAcentral lists this transfer RNA (67 nucleotides) under Bos taurus (domestic cattle). It matches the Rfam family "tRNA". Rfam says of the family: Transfer RNA (tRNA) molecules are approximately 80 nucleotides in length. Their secondary structure includes four short double-helical elements and three loops (D, anti-codon, and T loops). RNAcentral also lists the same sequence under 4 other names. Lineage: Eukaryota; Metazoa; Chordata; Mammalia; Artiodactyla; Bovidae. The record is from Rfam by way of RNAcentral.
CUGAGUAGCUCAGACAGUAAAGCAUCUGCCUGCAAUGCAGGAGACCCAGGUUCAAUCCUUGGUUCGG